UUGGACAAUCAAUGGAUGAAACCCGGGGUUAAAGCACUACGAACAAUCAUACUACGUUAUUUAACUUCAUUAGUUAAAUUACUUAUCUUGGUUGUUGAUUCCUAGGGUUUAUCGCAUGAUCAUGGUCUCCUCACCUCUAAUUGUCUACCUAACUUGGACAUUACAACUACAUCAUUGAGCGGGGAUGUAAUAAUCCAAUUAGAUGCAUAAAGCUAUCAUCCUACAUGUGAACUAAUAAAGUCAUCUAGGUAUAUCCCUAUCCUAGAUUCUAAUUCAAAUUCCUUAUUUUAUAAAAGAAUAAGAACCUUACUCUAUUUAUCCUCACGU
RNAcentral lists this long non-coding RNA (327 nucleotides) under Capsicum annuum. Its description in RNAcentral is "long non-coding RNA (CANN_LNC001203)". Lineage: Eukaryota; Viridiplantae; Streptophyta; Magnoliopsida; Solanales; Solanaceae. The record is from RNAcentral.